UCACGUGACCACCUGUACUGAUUGUGACACUAACGUGUCACAGUCUGCGAAGAAAUACUCGAGUAGAUACCGCUGCUACUCUGCGCGGUCAGUUCAUGUCAACUAACCCGUUAAAAUCCUUGAGAUUUUAGAGGCGCAGCUAACGCAUUUAGUUGACCCGCCUGGGGAGUACGGCCGCAAGGUUAAAACUCAAUGAAUUUGACGGGGGCCCGCACAAGCGGUGGAGCA
RNAcentral lists this ribosomal RNA (228 nucleotides) under Pseudomonas monteilii. RNAcentral's name for it is "partial 16S ribosomal RNA". It matches the Rfam family "Bacterial small subunit ribosomal RNA", at positions 717 to 939 of the family's 1533-position model. Lineage: Bacteria; Pseudomonadati; Pseudomonadota; Gammaproteobacteria; Pseudomonadales; Pseudomonadaceae. The record is from RNAcentral.